AGGCCUUAAUCCAACUGCUGUCACAGCAACAGGGAGAAAAGACAGUUUAUCUUUGGUUAAUCCUGAAGCACAGCUUUUCAUCUGACAGACUUUUCCACUGAGAACGAAGAAGACGGGAAGAGUGGUUUUUUAGUGCUGGAAGGGUGUCAGAGACACUGCGUAGCUCCUGCUGUGGAGAAGUGCCCUACCCUACACCCAGGGUUCUGCUGUGUGCUGGUUUUGUGGUCUAGAGAUCUACCAGUCAGAGGGGGUACAUGCCUGCACUGAGGAUGCUGAGGGCCCCACCUCUGCAGGACUCCCAUGAGAGCACAAGAGGGGCUGGCCCUGCUCUCCUGAGCCCAUGGCAGAACUGAGGUCAGGCUGCUGGCUGUGCCUAUUGGAACACAAGCUCCCAGGCAUGCAGACAAGUGAAGAACGUCUUGCUUUUAGGAGUGCUGGUAACUGAUAGGAACUGGAUGUCUUUUGAGCAAGCGCUUCCCUGAAACAAGGAGAAAGAUGCAGGUGCUGGAGGCCAGGCGAUUCAGGGACAGGAGCAACAGCAUGCAGCGUGUUGGUGCAAACUCUGCACAGCAUGGAGAAGCACACUCAGCUGAGAGCCCACCACCCCAGCCCGCUGUGGAGCUGCAGCUAAUGAAUUUUGGAUCAGCUGGAGGUCCCUGCUGCCACUGAGAGGUCAUGGCCUUCACAGGGCCACCAGACUAGGCAUGGUGUGUGGUUGUUAAGGCAACCUGGAGUAUGGUGUCCUUAAUUGCAUGUGGUAGUUGGUGGGACUAGUUGCCUACUUUUUUUGCUUCCAGCAGGACCCAAAGUAUAGGGCAGUGUUUGUUCUAUGGUGCCUCCUAAGGGACCAGUCUGGAAGCACUCCCUGUAUUUACACUGGGUGGAUAGGAAAGUUAAUAGCAUGAGUAUCUUAAAAAUUUUUAGCGUUUUUUUGUAACAUCACUUGGAGAUUUUGAUCCAUUGUAUGGUCUCAGUGAAUGUUGCUGGUACCCUUCAUCAUUCUGCUACGUUCCCUUUACCGCUUUACUGUGUGUCCCUGGGGCCAGGAAACACAUUAACAGGUACUGGGAGAAGAGAAAGAAGAUAACAACAACCUUCUGAUUCACAGGAUGGCAAAGGCAUGUAUGUGUGAGAAUGAAAGGUGCAGGUGGAUCAGAAGAAGCUUCACUUUGGAUAGCUGGUGGAGUGGGAACAAGAAUGGGUGGCUGGCAGAGCACCUUCCCUGAGGGACCAGACACAGCGCCAGCAGCCUCCAAAUGUGGGCACAACUCGUGAGAAAUGUCAGAGGUUUUGUGAAAGGUUAUUGUAAGAUUUCUGCAUGUGCCCUCGUACCCAUGAGGAGAGAGAAGCAAUUGUGUAGUGGCAGGCAAUAGCUGUCAGUCAGUUUUGCUGUGAAACAUGUCUGGUGUUCAAGAGGUAUCUGGGGAUGUCAAAAUAGUAAAACUUCUCAAGAGAGCAAACUACAGCAUUCAAAACUGUGAACGUAAAAUCGCCAAUGGCUUUUACAAGUAGAACUGGAAAUAUGCUUAGGAAAAGUCUAUUGGCCUUGGAGGGUGCUGUGAGGCAUCUGAUGCUGGGAACGCUGGUGUUCCUGUAUUGAGGUUUGUUGCUCCUCUCCCCAGAGGCAGAGAAACCCUUCUCACUCCUUUGCAUUGGAUGGAAGAUGAAUUCUAAAAUUACUUCAAAGUCAUGUCCACUAACUUCCUGCAAGGAGGUCUGUUGUAGUCUUCAUUGCAGGUAACAGUCUCUCCCCUCACUAAGGCUCUCAGUACUGGAUAUUUCAAAGGUGAUGGUGGCAGAGGCAGGAAGCCCGAGACUGCCGAGCACCACAAACAGGAGGCAGCUUCACUUCUGUCCCCAUGGUAUGGUGAAAAAGGAUGGAGAAACAGUAACCUUCCAGGCAAAGCCUUUAUUCUGGAAGAGAGUGAAGAGCCCCUGAGACACAGAAAAUAACUAGCUCAAGAGCAGGAAAUCCAGGGGGUCUGGCCAGGAUGGGCUCCAAGCCCCCGCAGCAUGGCCAUGCUCAGGGCCACUGGAUAUGCUCUGCAGCCAAUGUCCACGUCACUGGCUGAGCCAGAGGGCACACAGCUGGCUGCAGUGCUGUGGGGGCACUGGCAGCUGACUCUAGCCACACUUGGUGUGGGAGUGAAGAACUUGGGUGCUGGUCUGCAUCUGAGUUGUUUGCAGCCCAGGUAAGUGGAGCAGGUGCAGAAGCACAGGAUCUCCUUUUGGAUUGUGUACAACAGUCAGCUGUACCGAGUCACAAGGCGUACAGCGCUGGUUUGCGACCUCCACGUGUGCUGGAGCUGUGGGUGACCCAGAUUCAGUGGCUGAAGUUGGGACUUACAAGAAUGACCUCCAGAAAAGCAAGGGGUGGGAAAGCACAACAGAGGAAGCGAGCAGAGCAACAUGAGAUGCUGGUGGGAGCAUUUGCUGUGGGAUAAGGACCUGUUCAUACUGGCUUUUCAGUGGAUGAAUUAAUCUUCCAUCUCCAAAGUGAAUUUAAGACCAUGCGGUGUGCUAGCAAUCUUUCUAGACGCCCUUGCAGGGGG
This is a long non-coding RNA of Athene cunicularia (burrowing owl), 2552 nucleotides long. RefSeq lists it as uncharacterized. The record is from RefSeq and is a predicted model, not a curated record. The transcript is spliced from 3 exons. NCBI's taxonomy places the organism in Eukaryota, Metazoa, Chordata, Aves, Strigiformes, Strigidae.